GAUGAACGCUGGCUACAGGCUUAACACAUGCAAGUCGAGGGGAAACGACGGGGAAGCUUGCUUCCCCGGGCGUCGACCGGCGCACGGGUGAGUAACGCGUAUCCAACCUGCCUCUGACUGAGGGAUAACCCGUCGAAAGUCGGCCUAAUACCUCAUGGCAUCGUCUGCGGGCAUCCAACGACGAUUAAAGAUUUCAUCGGUCAGAGAUGGGGAUGCGUCUGAUUAGCUUGUUGGCGGGGUAACGGCCCACCAAGGCGACGAUCAGUAGGGGUUCUGAGAGGAAGGUCCCCCACAUUGGAACUGAGACACGGUCCAAACUCCUACGGGAGGCAGCAGUGAGGAAUAUUGGUCAAUGGGCGAGAGCCUGAACCAGCCAAGUAGCGUGCAGGAUGACGACCCUAUGGGUUGUAAACUGCUUUUAUGCGGGGAUAAAGUGAGGGACGUGUCCUUCAUUGCAGGGACCGCAUGAAUAAGGACCGGCUAAUUCCGU
Molecule: ribosomal RNA, 490 nt
Filed under: uncultured bacterium
Lineage: Bacteria
Description: partial 16S ribosomal RNA
Rfam family: Bacterial small subunit ribosomal RNA
Source: RNAcentral